This 805-nucleotide ribosomal RNA is filed under the name uncultured bacterium. RNAcentral describes it as "bacterial SSU rRNA". It matches the Rfam family "Bacterial small subunit ribosomal RNA", at positions 59 to 824 of the family's 1533-position model. The record is from RNAcentral.
CAGUCGAGCGAGCUUGCCUAGAUGAUUUUAGUGCUUGCACUAAAUGAAACUAGAUACAAGCGAGCGGCGGACGGGUGAGUAACACGUGGGUAACCUGCCCAAGAGACUGGGAUAACACCUGGAAACAGAUGCUAAUACCGGAUAACAACACUAGACGCAUGUCUAGAGUUUGAAAGAUGGUUCUGCUAUCACUCUUGGAUGGACCUGCGGUGCAUUAGCUAGUUGGUAAGGUAACGGCUUACCAAGGCAAUGAUGCAUAGCCGAGUUGAGAGACUGAUCGGCCACAUUGGGACUGAGACACGGCCCAAACUCCUACGGGAGGCAGCAGUAGGGAAUCUUCCACAAUGGACGAAAGUCUGAUGGAGCAACGCCGCGUGAGUGAAGAAGGGUUUCGGCUCGUAAAGCUCUGUUGGUAGUGAAGAAAGAUAGAGGUAGUAACUGGCCUUUAUUUGACGGUAAUUACUUAGAAAGUCACGGCUAACUACGUGCCAGCAGCCGCGGUAAUACGUAGGUGGCAAGCGUUGUCCGGAUUUAUUGGGCGUAAAGCGAGUGCAGGCGGUUCAAUAAGUCUGAUGUGAAAGCCUUCGGCUCAACCGGAGAAUUGCAUCAGAAACUGUUGAACUUGAGUGCAGAAGAGGAGAGUGGAACUCCAUGUGUAGCGGUGGAAUGCGUAGAUACAUGGAAGAACACCAGUGGCGAAGGCGGCUCUCUGGUCUGCAACUGACGCUGAGGCUCGAAAGCAUGGGUAGCGAACAGGAUUGGAUACCCUGGUAGUCCAUGCCGUAAACGAUGAGUGCUAAGUGUU